RNAcentral lists this ribosomal RNA (484 nucleotides) under uncultured bacterium. Its description in RNAcentral is "partial 16S ribosomal RNA". It matches the Rfam family "Bacterial small subunit ribosomal RNA", at positions 30 to 507 of the family's 1533-position model. The record is from RNAcentral.
ACUGAACGCUGGCGGCAGGCCUAACACAUGCAAGUCGAGCGGAUGAAGGGAGCUUGCUCCUGGAUUCAGCGGCGGACGGGUGAGUAAUGCCUAGGAAUCUGCCUGGUAGUGGGGGAUAACGUCCGGAAACGGGCGCUAAUACCGCAUACGUCCUGAGGGAGAAAGUGGGGGAUCUUCGGACCUCACGCUAUCAGAUGAGCCUAGGUCGGAUUAGCUAGUUGGUGGGGUAAAGGCCUACCAAGGCGACGAUCCGUAACUGGUCUGAGAGGAUGAUCAGUCACACUGGAACUGAGACACGGUCCAGACUCCUACGGGAGGCAGCAGUGGGGAAUAUUGGACAAUGGGCGAAAGCCUGAUCCAGCCACGCCGCGUGUGUGAAGAAGGUCUUCGGAUCGUAAAGCACUUUAAGUUGGGAGGAAGGGCAGUAAGUUAAUACCUUGCUGUUUUGACGUUACCAACAGAAUAAGCACCGGCUAACUUCGUG